GAAAGAGUGAUGUUCAAGUUCU
This 22-nucleotide non-coding RNA is filed under the name Arabidopsis thaliana (thale cress). Lineage: Eukaryota; Viridiplantae; Streptophyta; Magnoliopsida; Brassicales; Brassicaceae. The record is from RNAcentral.